Molecule: long non-coding RNA, 680 nt
Organism: Zonotrichia leucophrys gambelii
Lineage: Eukaryota; Metazoa; Chordata; Aves; Passeriformes; Passerellidae
Exons: 4
Source: RefSeq, a predicted model, not a curated record
CAUCAAGAAUGGGAGACAGACCACCAGCAGGCUUUGAUGGCUGCCAGUAAUGGUAGUAAUGACUUUCCAUCCCUGCUGAUUUAGCUGAGCCCCAGCUGGUGACCAGGAGGAGCAGGGCUCUAGACUUCAAGCUGUCCACUAUGCUGGUUUUCUCUUAGUUUUACAGGCCUGUGUCUCUCCGGGGAAAGGACUUUCCAGAGAAACAAAUCAAGAAAAAAUAACUGGCUUAAUUUCCCUCCACCCAGCAACAGUUCUUCACAGCUGUACAUAGGGACCAUGGAGCAGCCAGAGGGGUUGUGUGGGACAGAAGCUCCCUGGGUGCUCCCACUGGCAGAUGAGAAGACUGUGGAUAGCACACUGUUUCAGUAGUUGCUGAGCAGUGCUUGCAAUAAGUUGAGGACUUUUCAGCACCCCCCUCCACCCCACCAACGAGGCUGGGAAGCACAAGAAGCUGGAAGACACAGCAGAGGGAGCUGAACCCAACUGGCCAAAGAGACAUUCUGUAUCAUCAUAUGACACAUGUAUUUGUGCAGGCAGACACACUGUGCUUUGUAAGUUGCUGCAUUUUCCCCUGGCUGCUGUCAAGGUGUUGUGGAGGUUCCCAUUGUGUGGAAGUGCAAGGGGGACUUGUGAGCCUCCUCAUCCAGCAGGGAAACAGAGAAGAAAAAUCUGAUGUCAUA